CGAGCACGCGCGUGUGGCAUAUCAAUAAGCGGAGGAAAAGAAACUAACUAGGAUUCCCUUAGUAACGGCGAGUGAAGCGGGAAGAGCUCAAAUUUGAAAUCUUCAAGGUUCUACCUUGACGAAUUGUAGUUUAUAGAAGUGUUUUCUGUUAGUGGAGUGGCAAAAGUUCUUUGGAAUAGGACAUCAUAGAGGGUGAGAAUCCCGUAUUCGGUCAUUCCUCCUAGCGUUGUGAUACACUUUCAACGAGUCGGAUUGUUUGGGAAUGCAGUCCAAAAUGGGUGGUAAAUUUCAUCUAAAGCUAAAUAUUGGCGAGAGACCGAUAGCGAACAAGUACCGUGAGGGAAAGAUGAAAAGAACUUUGAAAAGGAGAGUUAAACAGUACGUGAAAUUGUCAAAAGGGAAGCGUUUGACACCAGUGUUGUUUUUUCCGAAAAUCAAUUACGAAUGUUUUAUUUUUGAGGAGUUAUGACUUCAUCGGCUUGCUCCUUUCUUUAUGAAACUUUCUUAAUGCACUUUUCGGUUAACAAGUCAACAUCAAUUUCUUUUGUUGUAAAAGGGUAUGAGGAAGGUGGCUUUCUUUUCGGAGAAAGUGUUUAUAGCCUUGUGCCUCUGCAAUCGGAGAGAUUGAGGUCUGCAGCGUAGAUCCUUCGGGGUUAGAUACGUUUGUGCUAAGUUAAAGCUUUUCAUAGACAACUUGUUGACUAUGUUUAGUCUUGUAGCUUACUCGCUGACGCUAUUUUACCUACGCUUAGGAUGUUGAACUCUAUCACACACAGA
Molecule: ribosomal RNA, 777 nt
Filed under: uncultured Neocallimastigales
Lineage: Eukaryota; Fungi; Neocallimastigomycota; Neocallimastigomycetes; Neocallimastigales
Description: partial large subunit ribosomal RNA
Rfam family: Eukaryotic large subunit ribosomal RNA
Source: RNAcentral